Vicugna pacos (alpaca) is the source of this 3812-nucleotide non-coding RNA. Lineage: Eukaryota; Metazoa; Chordata; Mammalia; Artiodactyla; Camelidae. The record is from RefSeq and is a predicted model, not a curated record.
CCCACGUCCCAGCCAAUAAAGCCCAGUGUGCCCAGCUGAGCCUCCAAUUUAUAUAGGUAUUUAUAUCUGUCCCCACAUGUACACAGCAGAGUUGCUGCUAUUUAUAAACUCAGGCUGGUGAUGGUAGGAGCAGACUGAGUGUUUCACUGCCCCCUCCUUCCCCGGAGAGAGCGUGUGUGCACACACAUGCGUGGGUGUGAAUGUGCGUGUACGCCACCUCCAGCCUGGGCAGGAACUGCUGGGACAAGGGCAGCAGCGCCACCUUCUGGAGAGAAGCAGGGGCCAAGCGGGCUGCCGGGAGCAGAGUGCAGUGCGCGCUGGGGUGAGAAAACAGGCUGGGAGCGGGGCACCGGGGCAGGGGCCGAGGCCUGGCUGUGGGAGAGCAGCUGGGGCAGUGGCGAAGGCACCAGCUCAGGGAGCCAGCAGGAGGCACCUCUCCACUGUGACUCUGUUUCCUCAUCUAUGACCUGAGCCUGUGAAUCCCUGCUCGGGAGUGGGGACACUGGCUGUAAGAUGCCUCAGCUGACCACUGUGGAUGCCCUCUGGGAGAUGGAUAGGCCUCAGGGAUACAAAGAGAUGGAAAUGCCUGGGACAGUAAAUUCCAGGCCAGGUGGAGCAGAAGAGGAGAAUAAAGGGGAGAAGGUGGAAGCUGCUGGCCCUGGGCUAAGGUAAGAAAGAGGGACUGUAACGGAUGCUGGUAUCGGGCCCUUAAGACAGAGGAUGGAUGGGAGGUGAGGAGAGGUUUAGAUGGCUGAGGUGAGGGAGCUAAAACACUCGGCCAAGCUCAACGGACAGUUGGGACUCUUGACUCUCAGACUUUUAAACAUCCUAUGACUUUGCACCUCCUUCACUGUUUUGCUUUCCCAAGAAUCACUAGCAGCAAAAUCUCUAGGACAUGGCAAAGGGGCUGCCUGCUUCCGUGCAUGGCCGGGAUGCUGCCUGCCAUUCACGGAGAGAUGGGGGCCCUGCAGGGAGAGGCCACGGCCUGGAGCAGUGGGGGUGGGGAGGGGAAGCAGGAACAGGCAGUGUGUGAUUGUGGUCUGCAGGACUGGGAGCUGCCCCAAGGCCCAGAAGAGUCCCUGGGGGGGUGUGAGCCCAGUGGACCCUCUGCACUGAAAGUUCCCACAGGGAUAGAGGUGGGGGCUCCCCUUUCCCUCUGACACCCUCCUGGGCCCCGCAUGGCCCAGUGGACAUCUCCCAGGUGUCUACCGACCCAGAGAGGUUCACCUUGGAUUCCGAACUUCCACUGCAGCCCUGACAGGGGACACACUGGCUCACCCUGCGGUGUGGUUCCGAGUCUGACAGCUCUCCUGGGAGCUUGAGGACAGGGACCUUUUGGACUUGGUGCCCACUUUCCCACCCAGGCCCAGCCCAAGUCCUGGAGUAUAAUUAACAUUUACUGAAUGAACCCGGAAGAAACCGAGGGAGGCAGCGGUGUGACCCAGACCCUGAUGCUCCCCAGAGGGGAGCUGUGAAAGGGCCAGUUCCCUUCUAGGCCUGCAGGGGCCUCUGGCAGGCUGGAGGUCUCAGAAGUGCCUCCGUGUUCCCACUCCCACAACAGCUCAUACCUUCACCUCCUGAAUCAUCUUGGCCACCUCCACCUUAGUUUUUCCUUUGAUUGAUCUGCCAUUGACACCAGUGAUCUCAUCGCCGGCUGCUACGGUGCCGUCCAGCGCUGCUGGGGUGUUGUCAAACACCUGUGGAUGCAAAAGGAGGGUGGAAGGGGGAGGAAAGGAAAACUGAGAAGAAACCUGGUGGGGGACAGUCAUUCCCUCCACCCUAAUUGGUACCCGGCUCUGUCCUGGGCUCUACCUCUAUCUCUUAAGCGAUGCUGGAGAAGGGCAGGGUAGAAAGUGCCUGAGCAGCCAGAAAUGAAUGACCCUGUGUUCUUGGGGGAGGGGAAGGAGGGCCAGAGGUAAAUGUGACUGAUGAGACCCUCCUUUUCUGAUCUCAAAUAUACCAAACCUUACACGCCCAUCAGAGUGUUUACUCCUCCAAAGCUAUUUCUUUAGAUUUCCCCAACAAUGCUGCUCUGUGCUGACUCGGAGCCCCAAAGCACCUCUUAUCAGUUCCUGCACUUACUCUCCAUCCCCUUGGGGACCCACCACCCACUGCACAUGUAAGCCCCUUCCCCCAAGGUGACUCCUUCCACGGGGUCUGCCCUCACUGGCUGAGUGAGGUCAAUGUGUCUGACAAAGGAUAGAUGUGUGGGGGAACGCUCAGGGCAAGGGAAGAACUGUCUACACAAGUGUGUGCAGAGGUUACACCAGAAGCUGACUUCUGGAAACAUCCUUAGUGGGGUGGAAGGCAAGGUAUAGAAAGUAAGGGGAUGGACUCAAGUCCAGGCUCCCUCCUCACCCACACAGCCCUCCAUACUCUGUCUCUGGGGAAGACAGAGGUUUAUUCCUCAGAGAAGCCCCCAACUCUGGGGCCCAGGGACGAGGGAGAUGGGGGUGAAGCACUGGACAGAAGCAGUUAAGGGUUCGGAGCUGUUUACACAUUGAACAAUGAGUCCCACAGCCCCUUAACCCCCAUAAGCCCCUAGACCGCCAGCAACCAGGCUCACCGCCCUUCCCCUCAGGAGCCUAGAGGGAGGAUCUGGCCCAGAAUGGCUCCACAGGAAAGGCCUCUCUGUGUGAAAGCCCCACAGUGGAACCCACCAGUUGACAGGGCCAGGACACAGAACUUAAAAGCACUGAGGUAACUGUGAGGGCUCAUGCUUAAAUGUAAAGACAGAUAAGAAAUACUGGGCCCUUGAAAAACCACCCCAUGUGGAAAACACCAAACAUUCAAAGAGAAAAAAGGAACCACAGGAAACAGAAACGAAGCAGGGACAACACAAAAACAAAAAGAAAACCAUAAUGAACAUCUUCACAGUGAUUUGAAAAACAAGAACAGGAUGAUGCAAAAGGAUCAAUUCGAAAACAGGAGAGACCUCUUAGAGAUGCAGAACAUAAUUGAAAUGUAAAGUGCCACAGCAGCUUUGGGAACCCAGCAGAGGAAAGUGGAAAAGAGACUGGCAACCAGAAGAAAAGAAAAAGAGUAUUAGAAGGUCAAUUCAGGAAGCCCAGCAUUUAACCAAUUGGAGUUCCACAGGAGGGAACAGAGAACACAGCGACCAGGACAUCAUCAGAGAUCACACGUGAGACUUUCACAGAAGAGAAAACACGGGGUUCCCCUGAUGAACCUGCCCUUUGAGGCUCCAGCACAACAGACAGAGAAAGGCUCAUGCCAAGACACUUCAGAAAGCCAGGGACAAAAAGAAGUGCCUAAGAGUCUUGACAGAUCAAGAAUGACACUACAAAUAAAAGAUCACAAGUAGGACUGACAUCAACAGACAUGACAACACUGCUAUUGGCAAAAGACAAUGAAAUGAUGCCACCAAAUUUCUAAAUGGAAAUGAUUUUCAAAGUUGACAGUCAUUCUUGAAUUUGAUCCACUCAGGUAUCAACUGAAAGAAACAUGAGAAUAACAACAAAAAGACAAAAUAAUGGUAUUUUCAGAGAUACAAGAUCUCAAAAAAUUUACCUCCUCCCACGCAGCCUUUCUCACAAAGCUACAGAAGAUGGGCUCCACCAAGAUGGGGGAGUAAGCCAAGAGAGAGGGAUCCUGGAGAUGGGGGAAUCCAGUGGAGGAGAGGGCAGGGGAGGUUCAAAGAGGAAAGACUACAUAAGGGUAGGGACAGAAAGAUGAUGGGAAAUGUCUGACUGAGGAAAAUGAACUUAAAAUACAGGGAGAAUGCAAAUGUAAAAAACAACAAAUUACUCAAAAAAAAAUGGGCGGGGAAGAAUUGAGUUAGAAGAAACACAGGC